GGUUCUAUAGUGUAGUGGUUAUCACUCGAGAUUCUGAUUUCCCCUUUUCUCGAAACCCAGGUUCGAGUCCUGGUAGGACCU
Termitomyces sp. J132 is the source of this 81-nucleotide transfer RNA. It matches the Rfam family "tRNA". Rfam says of the family: Transfer RNA (tRNA) molecules are approximately 80 nucleotides in length. Their secondary structure includes four short double-helical elements and three loops (D, anti-codon, and T loops). The record is from Rfam. Lineage: Eukaryota; Fungi; Basidiomycota; Agaricomycetes; Agaricales; Lyophyllaceae.